This 26-nucleotide non-coding RNA is filed under the name Cricetulus griseus (Chinese hamster). The record is from RNAcentral. Lineage: Eukaryota; Metazoa; Chordata; Mammalia; Rodentia; Cricetidae.
CAUCUCCCCGGAUGAGGACAGCAGCA